RNAcentral lists this transfer RNA (73 nucleotides) under Schistocephalus solidus. It matches the Rfam family "tRNA". Rfam says of the family: Transfer RNA (tRNA) molecules are approximately 80 nucleotides in length. Their secondary structure includes four short double-helical elements and three loops (D, anti-codon, and T loops). Lineage: Eukaryota; Metazoa; Platyhelminthes; Cestoda; Diphyllobothriidea; Diphyllobothriidae. The record is from Rfam by way of RNAcentral.
GGACCUGUGGCUCAAUGGUUAGAGCAUUGGACUUCUGAUCAACAGGUCGGGGGUUCGAGCCUCAGGUGGUCCA